This 205-nucleotide long non-coding RNA is filed under the name Phoenix dactylifera (date palm). Its description in RNAcentral is "long non-coding RNA (PDAC_LNC011790)". Lineage: Eukaryota; Viridiplantae; Streptophyta; Magnoliopsida; Arecales; Arecaceae. The record is from RNAcentral.
GCUAGCUCCCUUGCAGAGAUAACUUUGAUGGCUGAUCUCCUCCUUUAUAAUCAACCCUUGAUUGUGCUUAGGAGGAGGAGGAAGAAGGAGCAACCAAGGAAGAAGAUCACCUGGCUUUUCAGCCUUUAUCUUUUCCCUGCGUUGGAAGAAGGAAGAAGGGUGGAGGAAGAAGGCCGCCAAGUCCUUCUUUUGUUCUUCCUUGCUU